CCUACGGGGGGCUGCAGUGGGGAAUAUUGGACAAUGGGCGAAAGCCUGAUCCAGCCAUGCCGCGUGUGUGAAGAAGGCCUUCGGGUUGUAAAGCACUUUCAGUGGGGAAGAAAGCCUUGGGGCUAAUACCCUCGAGGAAGUACAUCACCCACAGAAGAAGCACCGGCUAACUCCGUGCCAGCAGCCGCGGUAAUACGGAGGGUGCGAGCGUUAAUCGGAAUUACUGGGCGUAAAGCGCGCGUAGGCGGUCUGAUAAGCCGGUUGUGAAAGCCCCGGGCUCAACCUGGGAACGGCAUCCGGAACUGGCAGGCUAGAGUGCAGGAGAGGAAGGUAGAAUUCCCUGUGUAGCGGUGAAAUGCGUAGAGAUCUGGAGGAAUACCAGUGGCGAAGGCGGCCUUCUGGACUGACACUGACGCUGAGGUGCGAAAGCGUGGGUAGCAAACAGGAUUAGAUACCCCGGUAGUC
Molecule: ribosomal RNA, 465 nt
Filed under: Vreelandella stevensii
Lineage: Bacteria; Pseudomonadati; Pseudomonadota; Gammaproteobacteria; Oceanospirillales; Halomonadaceae
Description: partial 16S ribosomal RNA
Rfam family: Bacterial small subunit ribosomal RNA
Source: RNAcentral